This 492-nucleotide ribosomal RNA is filed under the name uncultured bacterium. RNAcentral's name for it is "partial 16S ribosomal RNA". It matches the Rfam family "Bacterial small subunit ribosomal RNA", at positions 29 to 507 of the family's 1533-position model. The record is from RNAcentral.
AGUGAACGCUGGCGGUAGGCCUAACACAUGCAAGUCGAACGGCAGCACAGUAAGAGCUUGCUCUUACGGGUGGCGAGUGGGGGACGGGUGAGGAAUGCAACGGAAUCUACUUUUUGGUGGGGGUUAACGUAGGGAAACUUAAGCUAAUACCGCAUACGACCUUCGGGUGAAAGCAGUGGAUCUUCGGACCUUGCGCGAUUGAAUGCGCCGAUGUCGGAUUAGAUAGUGGGCGGGGUAAAGGCCCACCAAGGCGGCGAUCCGUAGCUGGUCUGAGAGGAUGGUCGGCCACAUUGGAACUGGGCCACGGUCCAUGCUCCUACGGGAGGGCCCAGUGGGGAAUAUUGGACAAUGGGGGCAAGCCUGGUCCAGCCAUACCGCGUGGGUGGAGAAGGCCUUCGGGUUGUAAAGCCCUUUUGUUGGGAAAGAAAAGCAGCCGGUUAAUACCCCGCUGUUCUGACGGUACCCAAAGAAUAAGCACCGGCUAACUUCGUG